Molecule: RNA transcript, 2757 nt
Organism: Wyeomyia smithii (pitcher-plant mosquito)
Lineage: Eukaryota; Metazoa; Arthropoda; Insecta; Diptera; Culicidae
Gene name: DDB1- and CUL4-associated factor 6-like
Exons: 4
Source: RefSeq, a predicted model, not a curated record
CCUAUCGGGUAGCACAAAAGUUUUUUAUUUAACAGUUCACUAAAAAACAAAUCUUUUUCGGCUUAUUCGAUUAAAAAAAAAUAAAAAACAAUCACCCUUAUUCUUGUUUACGGCCGUAUCGCUUUCGUACGAAAGCAGCAGCGGCGUACGAAUGCGAUACGAACACAUACGAAUCCGAUUCGUUCUAACCAAUUCGAGCUUUCGAACAUCGUUGCUUUCGUACGAACGUGUCAUUCUUGUUUACGUACGUAUGCGUAUCCGUAUUCUUUUUGCUCUCGUUCGUAAACGUCAGUCAAAAGUUGCGAAUCGCUUUACGAAUCGCCGGCGCCGGUAGUUUUUUCUCGUUUUUCUGCUGUUUUAUGUAAAUUGUUUUUUUUUUAAUCGAAUAAGCCGAAGAAGAUUUGUUUUUUAGUGAACUGUUAAAUAAAAAACUUUUGUGCUACUCGAUUUGCUAAAAUGAAAAGGCAAUCGAAAGUUGUGAAUCGCCAUCGCCGCGGGUUGUUUUGGUUAUUUCGUGUGAAGAAAAUCGGAUAAAUUGGACAAAGUUUCUUUUCUAGUGAAGGGUUGAAUGAUGAAAAAAUUUGCUGAAAUCGUUGCCGGAUAUUUGAAUCGUUUUGUUAGUGCUAUCAGCAAUAUCCUUUAAGCCAGUAAACUUAGUUGAAACGUCAUACUCACCUUCAUUCUUGUUUACGUUCGUAUCCAACAUUCGUACGAAAGUAUGGUUUCGAAUGAGUUCGAAAAUGCCAUUCUUGUUUACGUACAAAGGCCAUACGAAUCCAUUCGUAUCGCAUACGAAUGCGAUACGUAUACGAAAAAGGUGGAUGUCUAUGCAAAAAAGGUUGAUGUCUAGACUUAAGGGUUAGAAAAAGUUUAAACGUCAGGAGAGAAAUGUCAAGUGUGUCAAGCCGAUUGAGCGAGGCUUCUGACGGCAAACAGUUUUUCACUGAAUGAAAAUUAAAUAUAUUUUUUAUUAUAAUUUGCAUCAUAAAAAUACUUUGUUCUUGAAAAUAUCGUCGGUAAACAAAUGAAAUUUGCAAGCGAAAUAUGAAAAUGGAACCAAAUUUGGUGCAAAAACAUAAGAUCGUCAUGGGCCUGCGUGAAGCAAUAAAACUUAAACUAUUUACAUUUUUUGUGCAGUUUGGGUUGUGUUUUGAAGUAAGUUGAUUCUGUUUAAUUCUAGUAAAUAUUUGUAAUAAUUAGACGUGUGGUCAGGUGAGAGCCGAUAGACUCAAACUGUGAUUCGGCAGGAGUGAUAGUUUUUUCUCAUAUAGGAGACUGAUAAGCAUGGUUGAUAAAAAAAUCAUCCUGGUCUACAAGCGGCCUGAAGAGCAGAACCUACAGUCGACGACGUUCUUCAUCUACAUUCAGGUCCCGAUCGCAAUCUCGACGUCGCACAACGUGUGACUUAAGACCCAACAGCGGUGAUGGGCUCUGGCUACAUCUGGAAUUGAUUACGACAAUUAAAGUUUGGUCCUCAAUGGAUAAAGAUAUGACUCGUUUCGAUCGGGAGGCAGCCACCAAUCUCAUAGAACGCAACGCAGUGAUGCUGGAAGAAGCCAAGGACACCAUUACGGCGCCGGCCUCGUUUAUGAUACGAAUGCUGGCGUGUAUUCAUUCGCUACGGAAUCGCCGCAGUGCGACCCAAGCCGCUGCGGCAGGCAAUGAUAGUGAAAGUGAUAAUGCCCCACGGGAGGGCAACAAUAACAAUGACGAUAUGACGGCGGCGACCUAUCCCAGAACCGACUCGUCGUCCGACGGUAGAUCGCCGAAACACUAUCUUCAGUUUUAGGUUAAGAACGGGAAAUGUGUUAUUACACACGCUUGAGGAGCCUCUAAUUUUUAAAACUGCCUCGCCCUCGCAACUCCUUAGGGGAAAGUGAAAUCUAAACUGAUUCGCUUAUAUAAUGGUUUGUGUAUUAACAUUUCAGGCGACAGCGUAGGCAAGAAUGAUGUGAUUUUGUUGUAUAAAUAUUUUUAUAAAUAAAAACCAAUAAUAGCCAAAUGUAACUAGUGUUAAGUUUUAGCAAUUUCAUGUCUUGCGUAAAUUUGGGUUCCAUUAAGCUUUCUUUAGAUUUUAUUUCAUAUUGUAUGAGAAUUGUUGGACUUCAAAUGGUGAGUUGACAACCUCGAAGGAGCGGAAGCUGUGGGCCUCAUAAGUUUUUGUUGUCAAUACGACAACAGCUAAGUGCGAGGACGCUACGCGAUCACUUGAGCGUUAACCAUAUUUCAGCGACAGAAGAAAUGCUUCGACAACCCGAGCGGCUGUUCAAUAAGAUAGUGCGACUCAAAACAGCAUCUGUUCCCCUUGUUAAGGGUGGCUGAUCCAGUGUGAAACACGGGAUUGGUGAAAGCUUUACGUGCAGUAGUCGUAAAAAUCUUUUGUACAGGAAGCAACAAAUGUAAAUACAGACCGGAACCGGAACGAAAAUGGACUAACGAUUGGAAACUCGGAUCUGUUGGGCAAAUCAGACAUUGUACAACAAGUAAAACCGCGAUUUAUCGUGAGCAAUGUGUUAGUUAGACUUAGUUUAAUUGCACAUGUAAUAAAAAAUGACAAAAUAUAGAAGGGAUUGUAUCAGCAGGCAUCAGACAAUUUUUGGGAUAGACGGUGUUGGUUUGCUCUCAAGGUAGACCGGAAUAGGGCCCUAUUACAGAAGUUUAAUCGAUUCGACUCGCCCAUGUAUUUCAAAUGAGGCAUGUUGCUCUUCGAAGCUUCUGUAAUACAGCCCAAUGUGAGAAUUUUCGUCAUGUACUUUG